RNAcentral lists this ribosomal RNA (447 nucleotides) under uncultured bacterium. RNAcentral describes it as "SSU rRNA". It matches the Rfam family "Bacterial small subunit ribosomal RNA", at positions 26 to 518 of the family's 1533-position model. The record is from RNAcentral.
AGAGCGAACGCUGGCGGCAGGCCUAACACAUGCAAGUCGAGCGCGUGUAGCAAUACACGAGCGGCAGACGGGAGAGUAACACGUGGGAACGCGCCCUUCGGUUCGGAAUAACUCAGGGAAACUUGAGCUAAUACCGGAUACGCCCUUACGGGGAAAGAUUUAUUGCCGAAGGAACGGCCCGCGUCCGAUUAGCUAGUUGGUGAGGUAACGGCUCACCAAGGCGACGAUCGGUAGCUGGUCUGAGAGGAUGACCAGCCUCACUGGGACUGAGACACGGCCCAGACUCCUACGGGAGGCAGCAGUGGGGAAUAUUGGACAAUGGGCGCAAGCCUGAUCCAGCCAUGCCGCGUGGAUGAUGAAGGCCUUAGGGUUGUAAAGUCCUUUUAACGGGGAAGAUAAUGACGGUACCCGUAGAAUAAGCCCGGCUAACUUCGUGCUAGCAGCCGC